GUCAGAACAUCUUANNAUCUUCGGAUGCUUAGUGGCGAACGGGUGAGUAACACGUAGGUAACCUGCCCAUGUGCCCGGGAUAACUUCUGGAAACGGAUGCUAAAACCGGAUAGGUAAGUGGAUCGCAUGAACUGCUUAUUAAAGAGGCUACGGCCUUGAACAUGGA
RNAcentral lists this ribosomal RNA (166 nucleotides) under Acinetobacter baumannii. Its description in RNAcentral is "partial 16S ribosomal RNA". It matches the Rfam family "Bacterial small subunit ribosomal RNA", at positions 68 to 225 of the family's 1533-position model. The record is from RNAcentral. Lineage: Bacteria; Pseudomonadati; Pseudomonadota; Gammaproteobacteria; Moraxellales; Moraxellaceae.